RNAcentral lists this long non-coding RNA (3721 nucleotides) under Macaca fascicularis (crab-eating macaque). RNAcentral describes it as "lncRNA (ENSMFAG00000053531.1)". Lineage: Eukaryota; Metazoa; Chordata; Mammalia; Primates; Cercopithecidae. The record is from RNAcentral.
UUUUUUUUUUUUUUUUUUUUAAGAAAAUUAACACAGUGUAGGCCAGGCAUGGUGGCUCAAGCCUGUAAUCCCAAACACUUUGGGAGGCCGAGGCAGGCGUAUCACUUGAGGUCAGAAGUUCAAGACCAGCCUGGCCAACGUGGUAAAACCCCAUCUCUACUAAAACAAAAAUUAGCCAGGCGUGGUGCAGGGCGCCUGUAAUCCCAGCUAGUUGGUAGGAAGGAGAAUGGCUUGGACCCGGGAGACAGAGAUUGUGGUGAGCCAAGAUAGGUUACUGCACUCCAGCCUGGGUGACAGAGCAAGACUCUGUCUCGAAGGAAAAAAAAAAAAGAAAGAAAGAAAAUUAACACAGUGUCAGUCAAAACUAUAGUAGUUUUACAGGAAAGUUACCAAAUUAUUUUCGCUUAUCCAAGAGAAAAAUGAUGCAGAAGUAGCCCAGAAAAAUUCUGAAAAAAAUAAUAAUGAUAACGAUGCUCAACCACACACAACAAUUUAUUAUACAGCUCUGAUAAUUAAAACAGCAUGGCAGUAGAACUAGAAUAGACAGGCAUGUCCACAGACGUGUCGUGGAAAAUAAUAAAACAUCUGAAAACAAAACAAAUACUCAAAACAAAUUCAUUUAUUCCAACAUUUAUUGAGUGCCUGCUAUGUAUGGGCGCUAUGGAUGGUUACUUGAUGGCAAAAUCAAAAAGUGAAUGUCAGACCAAAGGGUUAAGUAUUCAAUAACUGGCUGUGUGGGGAAAAAGAUAUUUUUCUCACAUUUUACACUCAAGUACAUCUCGAACACUUAAUUAUAUACAACUCCUAGCACUACUAGAAUAAAACAGGUGAAUAUUUACAUACAAUUUUAUGAUGGGAAAUAUGCAAGUUCGAAACAAGCAUUGUGAAAUAUGUUAAUUUAAAUGUUAACAGGGCAUAAACUACUGACUAGCUAAGUAAUGGAUGGUCAUGCAGUCAUUAAAUUGUUGAUGAAGAAGUGUCUUUACUGGCAUUGAAAAAGUUAUAAAAAUGAUGUGUACCUAAAUAUAGGUAUCAAAGAAGACAUACACAGAACAUCUAUCCCAUAAGAACAUCAUUACUCUUCAAACUAAUCUAUAUAGUUAAUGCAUGACCUCAAUCAAAGGAGGGUUUUUCAUGGAGCAGAACUCUAAAAUGUCUAUGGAAAAGCAAAAUGCAGAGAGUAGGGAUGAUUUUAAAGAAGAAAAAGAAAAGGAGACUUAAACUACCAGACACUGAGACACAAUAAAGAAAUAAAGACAUAUUUAAAAAGUAUGAUGGUAGCUCAUACCCGUAAUCCCAGCAUUUUGGGAGGCCAAGGCAUGAGGCACUUAUGGCGCCUGGCCUUAAUCUUCUCAGAGUUCCAUUUCCCUUGGAACCUGACUUGCAACAGACACAAUGUAUAUCCUGUUUUAAAACAUGUACCAUAAUACAAUUUAUGUUGUGAAACAGUAUUAUUUAUGUUUGGGAAUGCAUGUGUAUUUUGUAAAAUUGUAAAAGCAUGCACCAGAAUGAUGAACACCAAAUUCAAGAGAGAAGUUACUUCUGGAAGGUAGAAAGGAGGACAGGCUUGUGGAAGCACAUACACAAUGUUUUAAUAACUACAUUACAUUUUCAUUCUUAUACUGGACACUGUAUACAUACAUAUCGGUUAGAGUAUUCCUUAUGCUCCCUUUGUAUAUCCGAAAUAAUUCCAUGACUUUUUAAAGUAACCUAAAAGGAACAGCUUGCCCUUGUAUCAACCAUUCUUCACUUUUUUUCUGCUGCAAUAAACAAAUGGAUGACAUUCAUGUGGCCAACAGAGAAUAAUGGGUGUUCCCACAUUUUGAAACAAGAACAAAUUUCCUGUUGGAAAUUUAAAAAAAAAAAAAAACAGGGCUACAGAGUUCUUUUUGCUUGCUUUUUUUUUUUUUUAAUGUGGCAAUCUUGAGAAGUAUUUACAAGUUUGUAAUUCUAUACCGUGUACUAGCAAUGAUCACUUUAAACAGGCUGCUACAGAGAUAAUAUAAAAUUAUGCAUAAUUUCUACAGUAAUUCCACUUCCCUUUCUUCUGCUCAAGAAAUUAGUGGAUUUCAAGUGACUGAGAGUGAAAUUAUAGUGAUAACUUUGACUUUGUCAAGUUUCACACAUCGUGGUGCCAUGAUUUGAGCCAGGGCAGUCUGACUCUGAAUUUGAACAGUGUUUAAUUGCCAGGAACAAACCACAGGGAAAACUUCUAAACAGAAGGAUACAGAGCAAAAGGAAAUGCCUAGGAUUGUUCUUUCUAAAUUCUCAACAUUUCCCAAUACAAAAAGUAUUAUGGUAUAAUUACAGUUCUAUAAAACAAUGUGCUUUAUGUAUAAUACAAAUACUACUAAAACAGAUUACCUGAACAUUGUAAAUUGAAGGACACAUUCACAAAACUGAGAUACAACUGGAUUUUUCCCUAAAUUUGUUAGGUAAUUCCACAAUUGUCAAUUCCACUCUGUUUGUUGAGAUCUGGUCUUGGUUUCAAAUUUUAAAAUUUCACUGUAUAAUAAAAUGAGUUCCAUGUCCCUAGGGUUGGGCCACGGAAACAAUGUUUUUCUCUGUUCCCACCCAAUGUGAGCUAUGUAUGACAGCAACACAUCACGAAUAAAAGGAUCUAGAAGCUCAAAAUAAGAGGGAAAAAAAGUAUGUGGGAGGGGAGCAGGAUGAAAAGAUUAAAAUAUUUUCUAACUCACUAAUUUGAAGCAAACAGGUUUUGUACAUAUCCAAGGCACUGAGCACAAACAAUUCAACUUCAACCAAUGUUACUUAUUCAGGACUACUACUAAGAAACUAAAUUUUAAGUUCUAUAUUUGUUUAAUAUAAAAAAUUUAUAAUACGGUUACAAAAGAGAAGGAAAACAUAACAAAUAUAUCAACAUGGUCAGACAUUGACUAAUAAAGGAUUGUUGACUGGGAAUGAAAUAUGUAACACUCUGUUAACAAAGCUUUUCAUACCUUAAAGGAAUUUUAUACGUAAUCCCUCCCUGUUAACCCAUUAUGUGUUUCGAGUUCCUCUUUCUCCUGACACUGUCAAAAAACCUUUUUCUUUAACGUUUUCCCAGUAAUCCGUUUAUUCCUAAAUUUUCAGCGACAUUUUAGAAAGAAAUCCAAACCUCAGCUCAGGUUAACAUCUAUACAGGCACUCCCUCUUGUGGUACAAAGGGAAACUGCCUGUUUACUCUAGCACUCAAGCCCAAGAAAUUCUUCGAAUUGAAAGCACUGAAGCAGGUUCUUUAUUGUCUUCAUUUUAUAGACCAGGAAACAGCACAACUGAGGUCCAGCAACUUACUUCCUCGAGGCAUCACAACCAGAGGACUGAGAUUCAGCUCAGAUGUCUGAUAUCCCUAUCCCAAGGCCAUGCACUUUGCACCACACCUCAUGACCUACAGCAUCUAUAUACCGUGUUCUUUUUGUUACCAAAUUUCCAAGAAUACAUGUAAAGCAAGUAGCAACCACAUAUUACUGAAAGAUGCAUUUAAUGCAAUAAGAAGAAUCUAAUUUUAAACUUCUACUGUUUUGAUGUAGUUUCAAAGCAGCUGCUUAGCUAGUAUUUUCAGUUUAAUAUAUUCGUGAUCAUUAACAAAACAGCAAAGUGAAUAAUGGGCAUAAAUUGUCCUAAGGAGAAUCAUUUUCCACAUUUAUUUUUCAAUAUUAUCAAAACAUAUGUAAUUUUUUUUUCUUUUUUUCUGAGACAGAAUCUUGCUCCAUUGCCCAGG